UGAAUACGAGAUGCUACGGCGUCGAAGCAGUCUAUGUCAUACUUCCAAGAAAAGCUCGCACUGUCAUAAACAAAUAAUGCCUGUACCAUAACCGACACAGGUGGGUAGGUAGAGUAUACUAAGGGGCGCGAGAUAACUCUCUCUAAGGAACUCGGCAAAAUGACUCCGUAACUUCGGGAGAAGGAGUGCCUUAUUUAUAAGGUUGCAAUAACAAGAUCCAAGCAACUGUUUAUCAAAAACACAGGUCUCCGCUAAGUCGUAAGACGAUGUAUGGGGGCUGACGCCUGCCCAGUGCCAGAAGGUUAAAGGAGUUGGUUAGCAUUCGCGAAGCUGAUAACUGAAGCCCUGGUGAACGGCGGCCGUAACAAUAACGGUCCUAAGGUAGCGAAAUUCCUUGUCGGGUAAGUUCCGACCCGCACGAAAGGCGUAAUGAUUUGGAUACUGUCUCGGAGAGGGGCUCGGUGAAAUAGACUUGUCUGUGAAGAUGCGGACUACCUGCACCAGGACAGAAAGACCCUAUGAAGCUUUACUGUAACUUGAGAUUGAAAUUGGACUUUACUUGCGCAGUAUAGGUGGGAGGCGUUGAUAAUAUUCUUGCGGGAUUAUUUGAGCCAUCAGUGAGAUACCACUCUUGUAAUGUUAGAUUUCUAACUUUGUAUCAUUAUCUGGUCAAAGGACAGUUUCAGGCGGGCAGUUUGACUGGGGCGGUCGCCUCCUAAACGGUAACGGAGGCGCACAAAGGUUUCCUCUGAACGGGUAGAAAUCGUAUCUAGAGUGUAAAGGCAUAAGGAAGCUUGACUGUGAGACCUACAAGUCGAGCAGGGACGAAAGUCGGUCUUAGUGAUCUGACGGUGCUGAGUGGAAAGGCCGUCACUCAACGGAUAAAAGUUACUCUAGGAUAACAGGCUGAUCUCCCCCAAGAGUUCACAUCGACGGGGAGGUUUGGCACCUCGAUGUCGGCUCAUCGCAUCCUGGGGCGGUAGUACGUCCCAAGGGUUGGGCUGUUCGCCCAUGAAAGCGGUACGCGAGCUGGGUUCAGAACGUCGUGAGACAGUUCGGUCCAUAUCCGGUGUAGGCGUUAGAGUAUUGAGAGGAGCCUUCUUUAGUACGAGAGGACCGAGAAGGACAUACCUCUGGUGUACCAGUUAUCGUGCCAACGGUAAACGCUGGGUAGCUAUGUAUGGAGUGGAUAACCGCAGAAAGCAUCUAAGUGGGAAGCCCACCUCAAGAUAAG
RNAcentral lists this ribosomal RNA (1234 nucleotides) under metagenome. Its description in RNAcentral is "bacterial LSU rRNA". It matches the Rfam family "Bacterial large subunit ribosomal RNA", at positions 1564 to 2808 of the family's 2925-position model. The record is from RNAcentral.